AAGGUUUUAAGUUAAAAAAACUAAUAGCCUUCAAAGCUGAAAAUGAAAUAUAUUUUUCAAACCUUA
This 66-nucleotide transfer RNA is filed under the name Homogryllacris parcibrevipenna. RNAcentral's name for it is "tRNA-Trp". Lineage: Eukaryota; Metazoa; Arthropoda; Insecta; Orthoptera; Gryllacrididae. The record is from RNAcentral.